This 253-nucleotide ribosomal RNA is filed under the name uncultured bacterium. RNAcentral describes it as "partial 16S ribosomal RNA". It matches the Rfam family "Bacterial small subunit ribosomal RNA", at positions 524 to 776 of the family's 1533-position model. The record is from RNAcentral.
GACGAACCGUGCGAACGUUGUUCGGAAUCACUGGGCUUAAAGGGCGCGUAGGCGGACCGCCAAGUCGGGGGUGAAAUCUUUCGGCCCAACCGGAAAAGCGCUUCCGAUACUGGCGGCCUCGAGGGAGGUAGGGGUCGGCGGAACUGGUGGUGGAGCGGUGAAAUGCGUAGAUAUCACUAGGAACGCCGGUGGCGAAAGCGGCCGACUGGACCUCUUCUGACGCUGAGGCGCGAAAGCCAGGGGAGCGAACGGG